CAAACCCAGCAUGGCAAAUCUACCGUUCCACAUCUCAGCAUCAGAUGUCAUGACGCCCUCUGACUUGGAUUCCGCGCUGACCCCUUUGAACAGUGGGAUCAAAGACGCGACUGAGAGCAGAAUACUUGUUCCGAGGAACCACGAGACUCCACCGUUAGAUAUCUGAUAAGAAAGGUCUUGGCCCUUGGACAGUUCCACUGCCAUUGCAGCGACAAAGCCUAUCAUGGCAAGCCUGCCAUUGAUCCUCUCUGGUGCGGGUCCGCUAAAUGCGAACAAAUCAAGGAAUUUUGUGCUGCCCUGUUAAUCACAGUCAUACGGGCGUUUACAUUAGAAGUGGAAGCAUAAAUGCAAUCACAAAGUCCAUGCUCUAUGUAAAUUGUUAAAAUUAAACGUUUCCGAAAUAAACCAUGCCGUAUAAUUAAUCCUGUACCUUUGGCUUAGGAGUAGAACUUGGCUCUGCUAACUUCUUGAUCUGGUCAUCCUGCAAAUUGAUUCAAAUGUCAACACAAUCCUAAGAACAAUCACCUAAUUAAAGUAUACACAAAGGAAGUCGAAAUAGAUUCCAAACUCACCAGCUUGGAGCACUGCACCCGUUUGCUAGCACUGCCACGUAGUCGUGGCACAAACGUCGCAGAAAACAAGUUGCUCACUCGAGACCGGUUUUUCACCAGACCACUAGGUACUGGAGUUGCAAGGACGGUCUGCAUGACUGUUGAUGUGGCCAUCAAUUAGAACAAUGUUUAUCACUCGAGCUGUGAUUUAGAAACUUAAUCAAUAUCUAAACUGUGAAAGCUAUUCUAAUGCUAGAGGGAACGUUCGCAAGGGAUAUCACUACCAGUGAGUUGAAGCUGGAGCUAUUUGCUUUGUAAUGAUAAUUAAUGUAUCUGACAGUGGUUUGGUAGGCUGUUAUAUAGCCGAUGGGGCAAGAGAGGAGCGGGCAUUUUGCUUCCACGUCAUCUAUAUCUAAUGAAAAGGCUGAUUGGAUCACGUGGCUUCGGUUGUCCUCAUAUGGUCAAGUGGGUUACGUGGCCUCCUCACAGUCACUAGUGGAUCCCCACCCCAUUUAAGAACCUGAGGCCAACGUUGUUCUAGGUUUUCCAGCUGAGCAGCGACCACGGCAUAGUAAUUGAACUGGGCUCAGCCACAUUUUACCGCAUUAAUUUGACACGUUCCAAAUAACACAGUUAAAUGGAAUGUAUAAUUUGUCGACAAGUUUCUUCUCUGAGAUCUUUUUUAGUAGGUGGUUGAUGAUAGUUUAUGUAUUUUCAUCUCCUACUUGUUAUCCUUUUUCCUUUGUUCACUAAGUUAAUUUUUUCUUUAUCCGCUGAGCUAAUUUCAUUCCUUGGGAAUAUUUUUAUCGUUGUUUUUUUUUUCUCAUUUGCUUUUUAAUUUUUCACCAAAACAUUUAAAAUCAUCUUCUUUACAUCUUCAAGGUUUUUUUCAAUAUAUUGAAAAGCCUUUUUUUUCUUCUCAGUUACGUGUUGAUUUCUCACCGAAACAUUCAAAAGCAUCUUCUUUGCAUCUUCUAGUAUUUGCUGGCAUGACUCAACAUCCUUUCGAAUGCAAGCCAAAUGAUAUUUGAAAUGGUAAAUGUCUCAACUGAAAAUUUUCUAACAAUACUUGCACUGAACUUUUCUUGAAUUCUUAUCAAUAUCUAUACUAUGUUACCAUCUCACGUCAAGUUUAUUGUCACUAGUAGUUUUUUUUAGAUGUCAUGUAUCUUGCAAUUCAAGAAUCAAUUCAAAUCAACUCUAUAAUUAAAAUCGCAAACAUUUACUUCACUUUGCAACUUAAUAAGAAACUCGAUAAAAAUCAUGUGUAACCCUCAACUAUUUUAUUAUUUUCACUUUGAUUCCUCUGUUUUUUGGAUAGAUUAACUCAUUUACUUCAUCAUUUACAAGAAACGAGUCCCUUUAAAUUUUAGCAGGCUAUUUAACAUUAAUUACUCUAUUGUCUAAUGCCAGUUUACAACUUAUAUUCUAUAGAUUUGCCAGCUAAAACAGAGAAAUGCCAAAUUUUUCUUCACAUCUUUCUCCAAUUAUUUGAAUUGAUUAUAGAUUUGUGUCCCAUUGAAUCUUCAAAGAGAAAAAAAAAUAGAGAACACAAAAGAAUGCAUCUCAUGUUUAAUCAAAACACAAAACUCAACAGAGCAAGAACAAAGAGAGAAGUGACAUUAACAUUUAAAACACUACUAGAAAAUUGAUAAAUACAAACGGAAAUACCGAGAGAAUAUUUCCGUCGGUAAAUUUCUGAGAGAUUUUACCGACGGAAAUAUUCCCUCGGUAUAUACCGAGGGAAUUACUGUGGGAAACAAAAUUAAAACAAAGCAAAAAAAAAUGAUAACGUGUCAUUUUUACCAACGGAAAUAAAUCCGUCGGUAAAUCUGGUGGUAAACUGUGAACAUUGUUCAUCAUGUCAAUUACAAAGGGAAUCACCGACGGAAAUUUUUUUCGGUAUUUUCCAGAGAGCUCCAGAACUGUUCACUUUCCAAUUGCACUGUUAAUUGUUGUUCUUUACAGACAAAAUCACCGACGGAUUGAAAAGUCGUCGGUGUUAUUUGGUGGUUUUCUGAAAAAAAAUCAAUUAAUUUAAAUUUUUCAUUUAAAUAUUACAGAUGGAAUCACCGACGGAUUGAAAAAUCGUCGGUAAUUGUUGGCGGUUUCUGAAAACUUUUUACAAAAUUGAAAAUUUAAAUUAAAUAUUACCGAUAGAAUUACCGACGGAAUAAUUAAAAAAUAUUAAUAUUCAAUUAUCCGUCGGUAGAUCCGUCGCUAACGCGCCCCAAUAAAAAGUCUGGAUCCCCUUAUUUCACAAGAGACAGGCUCAUUUUUUAUAAUUUUUCUUCUACUUCUUCUUCUUCUUCUACUACUACUACUACUACUACUUCUUCUUCUUCUUGUUCACUAUAUGUAAAAAAUAUCAAUAUCUAUUUCAUUCUUUUAUUUUCUCUUCUCAUCUUCUUCUCCUUAGCUUCACUUGCAACUACAUUAAGGUAAUAUUUUUCUUUUUUCUUCUUUUUUCAUGAUUGUUUUCACUAUAUUUGUUUUUUAUUCUAUUUUUAAUUGUUUUUGUUCUUAAUAAUUGUAUAAAUUUUGUUGUGAGAUUUUUUUUCAUAUGAGACUAAUUUUUAGUUGAUUUAUUUAUAGGGAUUUUUAAAUUUUUAGCAAUUGCAACUUCAUUUUUUUCAUAUGAAUUUUUUUAGUUGAAUUUAUUUUUUUCAUUUUAUUUAUUUGUUGCAAAUUUGUUUGAGUUGAUUUUCUUCUUUUUUUUCCAAGCAUUUUGAGUAUAUAAUAUACAAUGUUGAUUUAUGUUAAUUUAAUUAUUUUAUAAUUUCAUAAAAUGAAUUUUUUUAAAAUAUUUUUAUAUAAUUACCGACGGAAUUACCGAGCUUGAAUUUGUGUCCAAUGAUAUUGAGGCUCUUAUUGGAUUGCCAAUUUGUUAUGGUAUGAUAGAUCAUUCAGAAUCAAAAUUGUCAAUUUGUUAACCAUCUAGGUGGUGGCCCAGUGGUAACAGUUUGGGACUAAGAGGUUUGCUCUCUUUGUGGUCUCAGGUUCAAGCCCUGUAGUUGCUCAUAUGAUGGCCACUGGAGGCUUACAUGGUCGUUAACUUCAGGGCCCGUGGGAUUAGUCGAAGUGUGUGCAAGCAGACCCAGACACCCACGUUAAACUAAAAAAAAAAAAAUUGUCUUUUCAAAAUUAAAAAUUUAGCCAGAUAAGGAGAUUUUUUUUGGCAUGUUUGUUUUCAAAUUUCAGGCACCAUUUGGUUGUUAGGUUCUUAUUGAUUGUGAUUAAAGUGAUUGGUUUUGAUUUAGAAAUAAUUUUAGCUUAUGUUGUGCAUGGAAGAAAAACAAUAAUGAAGCAUUAAAGUGAAUAAAACCUAAAUUUCCAAAAUGUUUGUGGUUUGUUCGGGGCUCUAAGAUUUGCAUUGUGAAUUUUAUAGAAUGGAAGUGCUUGAUAAUAAUUUGGCAAAAUGAAAAUGAACCGAUUAGAUUUUGUAGGAAAGUUUAUGCAAUCUCCUCAAAUCUUUCUUAUAAUGGCUGUUUUUACUUAUUUUGGGCCCACAUGCUGAAGAUGAUGUAUACUGUUUUUUGAAUCGAGUGCAGGUGCUAAAGAUGCACCGACGGCUUUCAAUCUUGGCAUGUUCCUAGCUAGGAUAACAUAAAGAAGGAGAAGUAAAACCUACAGAAGUAUUAUUUGUAAUUUAUAUAAAUGAUUGAAAAUUGAUCUUUUACAUAUUUCGCUACUGAAAUUACAUUGAUUCAAGUAUCCAUGUUAACAUCUAUGGCUUGAAAAAUACACAAGACAGAAACUAUAGAAGGGUUCCACCCGAGACAUACUCGGUGCAGGCCAGCGCAACCAAACCCAACAUGGCAAAUCUACCGUUCCACAUCUCAGCAUCAGAUGUCAUGACGCCCUCUGACUUGGAUUCCGCGCUGACCCCUUUGAAUAGUGGGAUCAAAGACGCGACAGAGAGCAGAAUACUUGUUCCGACGAACCACGAGACUCCACCGUUAGAUAUCUGAGAAAAAAGGUCUUGGCCCUUGGACAGUUCCACUGCCAUUGCAGCGACAAAGCCUAUCAUGGCAAGCCUGCCAUUGAUCCUCUCUGGUGCGGGUCCGCUAAAUGCCAACACAUCAGCGAAUUUUGUGCUGACCUGUUAAUCGUCAUCAUGCGUGCGUUUACAUUAGAAGUGUAAGCAUAAUUGAAAUCAAAAUGUCCAUGCUCUACUUAAAUUGUUAAAAUUAAACAUUUCCGAAAUAACUCUACCAGAUAAUUAAUCCUGUACCUUUGGCUUAGGAGGAGGACUUGGCUCUGCUGACAUAUUCUGCUCAUCCUGCAAAUUGAACCAAAUGUUAACACAAUCCUAAGAACCAUCACCUAAACUAUAUACAAAGGAAGUCGAGAUGGAAUCCAAAUUACUCACCAGCUCGGCCUUGCACUGCAACCGUUUGCCAGCACUGCCACGUAGUCGUGGCACAUACGUAGCAGAAAACAAGUUGCUCACUCGAGACCGGUUUUUCACCAGACUACUGGCCACUGGAGAUGCAAGGACGGUCUGCAUGACUGUUGAUGUGGCCAUCACUUAGAACAAUGUUUAUCACUCGAUCUGUGAUUAAGAAACUUAAUCAAUAUCUAAACUGUGAAAGCUAUUCGAAUGCUAGAGGCAGCGUUCAGUAAGAAAUAUCACUACCAGUGAGUUGAAGCUGGAGCUUUUUGCUUUGUAAUGAUGAAUAUUUAAUGAAUCUGACGGUGGUUUGGUAGGCUGUUAUAUAGCCGAUGGGGCAAGAGAGGAGCGGGCAUUUUGCUUCCACGUCAUCUAUAUCUAAUGAAAAGGCUGAUUGAAUCACGUGGCUUCGGUUGUCUUCACACGGUCAAGAGUGGGUUACGUGGCCUCCUCACAGUCACUAGUGGAUCCCCACCCAAUUUAAGAAUCUGAGGCCAAUGUUGUUCUGGGACCACGGCAUAGCAAUCGAACUGGACUCAGCCACGAUUUUACCGCAUUAAUUUGACACGUUCAAUCACAUAACCUGACAAACCAAUAUUAAUAGUAAUAUAAAAAACUUAUGAUGUAACAAAACAUUUAUGAUGCUUAUGAUUUUUUCUUCUUUUUAUAUUUGUUUUUUAUGUUAUAAAUACUCCAUAAUUAAAAUUUUAAGCAAAAGUAAGUGUGUGAUUUAUAGAACAAUACAAAUAUUUUAUGUAAAAGUAUUUUUUAAAGAGAAAAUUAUCUUGAGUAUCGUAUAGUUUAUUUAAUUUUAUAUUUUGUUUUUAUUAUUUUAAAAAUUACUGAAAUUAUUCUUGAUCAACCGAAAAUUUUAAAUCGAUUGAAAUGAUCAAAUUAACCUCUACCUGUUGUAAUUCCUUAAAAUUUUGUUGCUUGUUGGGUGCUAUUAUAACUAUGGUAAAAACAUAUUGUUGAUCAAGACAUGGUCACAAAAAAGAUAAGGAAAAUUUUUCUUGGGAGAGAAACAUUGAGAUGCUCGUCAUGAAAGACUUUCAAAGGUAGAUCACAAAGUUGACUUAUAGGUUAAAGGAUAAGGGUUUAUAAAACCAAAAUUAGAAGAGUGAUCAUGGAUUCCUAGCCAAUACUGAAAACCAAAGGCAUGAUCAUAUAUAAAAUAUAACCUCUUGAUUAGGAAGAGAUUAAAUUUAGGAAUUUUUUGUUUCACAUUAAAAUCCCUAAAUUCACAAGAACUUCACAAGUAAAGGAUUUCAUAGAACAGAUAAAUAGGGUAAAAUGAAUUUUUUAGUAUAAUGAGGUUCUCAAAUAGAUGUGAGGGAAGUUGAUGGUGAUUAGAUUAAAAGGUAGAGUUUCUGUUUAAUGAGAAUAGUUAAAAGAAAUCGAGAGAGGCAUGAAAAGCUGAGAAUAGUAAUUUAGAAAAGAUGAAGAAGAAACUAAAAGAACACUUCCUUCCAUUUGGCUAUGCCCAAACCCUGUACAAAAGGUUUCAUAUGUUAAAACAAAUAGACAUCAAGUCAUAGUUUUGGUUUAGUUUUCAGGAUUUGUUGUUAUAGUUGUGGUGAGUUAAGGCAUCAAGCUAAUGAGAAUGCAUUAAAAAACCAGAAAGUUAUAUAGAAAAAAAUAUGUUGAUAGAGGAACCUGCAAAUAAUAUGGCUGAUCUUAUUUAAAAUGACUCUAACAACAGUGAAUAGACUUUAAAUGGGGAUAGCAGUACUACACUAGUUGUCUGAAAAAUCAUGUUGUCACCCGAUGGUGAUUAAUGAUAGAAUUGGUUGUGUUCUAAAAUCUUCCAAAUAACGUGUAUUGUUAACAACAAGAUAUGCAAUCUAAUCAUCUUCGAUAGUAGUUAUGAGAAUAUAGUGUUAGUUGAAGUGGUAGAAAAAUUACAGCUUAACAUAGAAAAACUCUUCAUCCCUUCAAACUAAAAUAGCUGAAUGAAACAACAAGGUAAUAACGGACAAGGGCUAUUUUAUUUUGUUUUUCAUAAGCAAGAUUAUAUAUUUUAAUAAUAUUUGGCAUGAUGUGGUGGCUAUAGAUGUGUAUCAUAUACUUUUGGACAGACCAUAACAAUAUGAAAGAAAUGUCGUGCAUGAUGGAAGCUGUAAUACAAAUACCCUUACUAUAACAAGGAAAAUAUGGUAAUGACUCCUAGAAAGAGGAGGCAAUUGUUGAAGAUAAGGGUAAAAAUAAGUUGUUUUUAUAUAGAUUUACGGAGAACAAGAAUAAAAAAAAAAGAAUGUGAAGGAGGUGAAGAGGGUAAAGGUCUAUUGUGGAAUAAGUUAAUUAAAAUGAGUAGUGGUUUUGUCAAGAUCAAGGGUGGUAUUUUGAAAAGUUAAUUAUUUUUUUCCCUACUUUAUCUAAGUUGAUUACAUGACAAAAGUCUAAAAAUGGUUGAUGACAGCGACAUGGUUAUGACCAAAACUUGAGGAUGAGUUUUUCCUAACCCAAAUGAUAUAGGUAUGUUUGCAAAGAUUAGGAGUUCUAAGCAGUUAUAUAAAGAUUUUCCUAAAACAAAUUAUGUGGAUGACCUAAUAUAUAUUUUCAUGAAUUGAUGGGACAGGUCUCGGUCAAAGAAAAGGUUUGGCCACGCCAAACUGAGAUAAUAGCUUAAAAUGAUGAUUAUAGAACAUUUUACCGUUGUAUUGGAUUUAAAUUUUAUAGGAGAUUUUUCAUGCUAUUUUUCUAUAAAAGCUACUACAUUACUUACUAGACCAUAGAACAUCCCAAUAUUAGGACUUAAAGUUAUUGUUUGGACUACUUUUUUUUAUUUUUGCUAGAUAUUUUUGGAUUUUGUGUUAAUUUCCUUUACUUGUUAGGAUUUUCAUUUUAAUUUUAAUUUUAAUUUUCUAGUUUAGGUCAUUUUUUUAACCUAUAAAAAAGCAUUGUAAAUCUCUUUAUAAGGCAUACUUGGUCAAAUUAUUAUUUCAUAAAUAAAAUAAGUUUCAACUCUAAUUCAGUCUCUCUUUAUGUGUUGUUAUUAUUUUAGUGUGCUUUUAUCUACAUUAAUAGGCUAGAUAUUUUACUUGCUUGUUGUUUUGGCUACUUCAGUGCACAUCUAUCUUUAUUAAAAUCCAUUAAGGUGAGUAAAAAAUGCAGAAAAAAAUAAAAGAAAAAUUAUCCUGAUUAUUCUAUAAUUUACUCAAUUUUACACAUUGUCUCUAUAGUUUUGAAAAUUUCAGAAAGUAUUUUGAAUUUAUAUGUUCAUAACACUUUACACGAUGCUAAAAAAAUCAACAAAAAAGGUUUAACUAUUUACAAGAUUGGUUUUGUAUUUUUUUUAAUGACUAAACAACGUUAGUAUAUCAAAAUAAUAAAAAUACCCUUAAAUAAAAAAUGGCAAUCCAAUAAAUAUAGCAUAUAUUCAGAGCUUGAAAUUUUGUGAAGCAUUUUAACAAACACAUCGUAUGUUACUUCAACUUUUCAAAUCCUCAUCCUCAAAUCAUAAAGUCCAAAACCUUGUUCUUCAUUUUCUCCUUCUAGAAUCUAGCCAACUAAACCUAACAAAUCUCCUCUAUUAAAGCACCAAUUUUGCCACCACUCAAACCUAACAUAAGUCUUUCUACUGUUGUUUUCUAAAAGCUCAUUGACUUUCAAAGCACAAGAACACCACUAAAUUUUUAGGCUAAAAUAAUAAUGUCAAAGCUCCAACCAACUUUUAUUAUCUAGAUAUAAUGAAGUUUUUUUGGCAAGAAGAAGAGAUGCAUAUUUGCACAACCAAGCUAGGAAUGCUUUAUUGUCUACUAGAUGUAGAUCUACACCAUGUAGAGCUUCUUCUUUAGGUGGUAGAUUUUAGGGGUCACCUUCGAAGAGCAAAGAAAUUGAGAGAAAAACAUAAAUACUCCGAAAGAAAACAAAGGAAAUGGAGAAAAUAAGUUUGGACCCAAAAACUAAAGUAAAGAUUAUGCUUUGGAUGUAAACUAAUGCAGAUCUUACUAAUUUUUCUUUUACCCUUUCUCUAUUUAUUUUUAUUCUAUAUCUUUAAGAUCUUAAAAACAAGCUUUCAUAUUAGUCUAUAUUCACGAACAAAUGAUUUUUCUUUCGGAACAAUCUUAAAUUUUGUCUUUAAAACUCCAUACAACACCUGAUCAAGGCACGCUAAUCUCUAUAAAAUCCACAAUAAAAAAAACCCUAGUAAUAAUGCCAACAUUGGCACACCAAUCUCUAUAAAAUCCACACUCAAAUCUCUUAAUAAAAAAAACCCUGAUAAUAAUGCCAUCAAUGAAACCCAACUUUUCAAUUCAAUCAAAGACCUCCCUUUAGCAUAUGCAUUAUUCUUUUCCUUUCAAAUAUCCUUCACACAUGGCUUUCUUGAAUCCCACAGAACCCCGCAAUUGAAAACAACUUUACCCUACUUAGCCUCUGAUGAAUGAUGAAAUUUUAUCAGAUUUAUAUAAAAAUUUUAUCAGAUCUAUAUAAAUCUAAAGGGCAUGAAACCAUAAUUCAUUAAUCUUGUGUUUUCUUUUAUGGUGUUGGAUUUGGUUAGACAAGAAAAUUUGUUGACCAGCGAGUAGUUCUCUAUGCUCCCAGUUCAAUCGGACUUCUGUUCUAUGUGCAUUUCACUCGUUUUUGACUGAUAGUAAAUUUUUUAUCAUGUAUAUAUCAUUUGAGAUAUACCGGUUGGAAAUCUGAGUAGAAGUGAAUUUUUGGUAUUCCAGUUUGUAAAUAUAUUUUGUAACUGGCAAAGGAAUGGCGAUUUUUAAAUGGCCUAAACUGGAUGGGUAUCGGGUUUCUGUCUACCAUUUUCAUUAAGUGUAGUUGGGCAAACAUUUGUAAUCGGUUGCUGCAAGAAAGAUGCGUGAAUGGUUACAAGUCCGAAAUAUUAUUAGUUUGAGAGUUUAGCUACUCCAACUUCACUAUAGAUGGCAUAACAUAAAGAAGGAGAAGAGAAAUCUACAGAAGCGUUAUUUGUAAGUUAUAUAGAUGAUUGAAAAUUGAUCUUAUAUAUUUUGCUACUGAAAUUACUUUGAUUCAAGUAUCCAUGUUAACAUAUAAGCUUGAAUAAUACACAAAACAGAAACUACAGAAGCGUUCUACCCGAGACAAACUCGGUGAAGGCCAACGCAACCAAACCCAACAUGGCAAAUCUACCGUUCCACAUCUCAGCAUCAGAUGUCAUUACGCCAUCUGACUUGGAUUCCGCGCUGACCCCUUUGAAUAGUGGGACCAAAGACGCGACAGAGAGCAGAAUACUUGUUCCGACGAACCACGAGACUCCACCGUUAGAUAUCUGAGAAAAAAGGUCUUGGCCCUUGGACAGUUCCACUGCCAUUGCAGCGACAAAGCCUAUCAUGGCAAGCCUGCCAUUGAUCCUCUCUGGUGCGGGUCCGCUAAAUGCCAACACAUCAGCGAAUUUUGUGCUGACCUGUUAAUCAUCAUCAUGCAUGCGUUUAUAUUAGAAGUGUAAGCAUAAAUGCAAUCAAAAAGUCCAUGCUCUACUUAAAUUGUUAAAAUUAAACAUUUCCGAAAUAACUCAUGCCAGAUAAUUAAUCCUGUACCUUUGGCUUAGGAGGAGGACUUGGCUCUGCUGACAUUUUCUGCUCAUCCUGCAAAUUGAACCAAAUGUUAACACAAUCCUAAGAACCAUCACCUAAACUAUAUACAAAGGAAGUCGCGAUGGAAUCCAAAUUACUCA
RNAcentral lists this long non-coding RNA (10594 nucleotides) under Populus trichocarpa (black cottonwood). RNAcentral's name for it is "long non-coding RNA (PTRI_LNC002176)". The record is from RNAcentral. Lineage: Eukaryota; Viridiplantae; Streptophyta; Magnoliopsida; Malpighiales; Salicaceae.